This 103-nucleotide microRNA precursor is filed under the name Marmota monax (woodchuck). Lineage: Eukaryota; Metazoa; Chordata; Mammalia; Rodentia; Sciuridae. The record is from RNAcentral.
UUACUAGUCACCUGGGGAUUUUGUUAAAACCCAGAUUCUGAUUUAGUAGGUCUGGGUUGGGGCCUGAGAUUCUACAUUUCUCAUAACUUCCAGUGAUGCUGUU